AUUGAACGCUGGCGGCAGGCCUAACACAUGCAAGUCGAACGGUAGCACAGGAGAGCUUGCUCUCUGGGUGACGAGUGGCGGACGGGUGAGUAAUGCAUGGGGAGCUGCCCAAUCGAGGGGGAUACCAGCUGGAAACGGCUGCUAAUACCGCAUACGCCCUGAGGGGGAAAGGUGGGGGACCUUCGGGCCUACCGCGAUUGGAUGCACCCAUGUGGGAUUAGCUAGUUGGUGGGGUAAAGGCCUACCAAGGCGACGAUCUGUAGCGGGUCUGAGAGGAUGAUCCGCCACACUGGGACUGAGACACGGCCCAGACUCCUACGGGAGGCAGCAGUGGGGAAUUUUGGACAAUGGGGGAAACCCUGAUCCAGCCAUGCCGCGUGAGUGAAGAAGGCC
Molecule: ribosomal RNA, 393 nt
Filed under: uncultured bacterium
Lineage: Bacteria
Description: bacterial SSU rRNA
Rfam family: Bacterial small subunit ribosomal RNA
Source: RNAcentral